GCAUGCUUACAUCAUAGUGUUAAUGCACCAGAUCCCAUUAGAACUUUGCAGUUAAGAGAACUCAAGCUAGAGUAGCACUUGGAUGGGUGAUUGCAUGGGAAGUCCUAGUAUUUUACAUGCC
Molecule: non-coding RNA, 121 nt
Organism: Picea glauca (white spruce)
Lineage: Eukaryota; Viridiplantae; Streptophyta; Pinopsida; Pinales; Pinaceae
Source: Rfam